Molecule: non-coding RNA, 8120 nt
Organism: Oryctolagus cuniculus (rabbit)
Lineage: Eukaryota; Metazoa; Chordata; Mammalia; Lagomorpha; Leporidae
Source: RefSeq, a predicted model, not a curated record
UAUCUGCUGGUUCACUCCCUAAAUGGCCACAAUGGCUGCAGCUAGGCUGAUCGGAAAUCAAGAGCCAGGAGCUUCUUCCAGGUCUCCUACAUGGAUGCAGGGGCCUAAGGACUUGGGCCAUCUUCUAAUGCCUUCCCAGGCCACCAGCAGGGAGCUGGACUGGAAGUGGAGCAGCCAGGACUUGAACCAGUGCCCAUAUGGGAUGCCGGCACUGCAGGUGGACACUUAAUCUACUAUGCCACAGCGCCAGACCCUCCUUUUGUACUCUGACAUAGCAGUGGCAGCUGCAGGCAGGAUGUUUUCCAAGUGAUUUCUGUUUUGUCUGCAGCAAGAGAGAUGCUGGGUGCAGCCUGGAGUUGGGGAUGCCCUUGUGGGGGGAGGGGGGACCAGCCCGGCAGAUCCCCUUCCUCCCCAUAGAUCUUCCUUGCUCCUCUCCUUUGUCUGGGGGAGCCAUGCAAGGUGCCCGCAUUCCAGGCACGAGGCUGGGUGUUUGAUCCCACUCUGGCAUUUUGGUUUGCUAACCGCCAUGCACAAUGCAGCCUGGGUUCAGGACAUCAGAUCCAGUACUUGUUUUCUCUGCAGUGGGCUCCCAGGGAGCCAGAGGAGCAGUGGAAAACCUCUCCUAGAACAGCUGGAGCCACAGCGUCCGGGCCCCACUCUGCCGGAGUUGUUUCUGGCUUCUCCAAGCUUUGCUGGGAUUCUCCAGUGCUUCUUCCAGCCUCUCUCCACUGUGGUCCCCCUGCAGGCCUGCCUCCCACCCUGGCUUAUAAAUUCCCAGGUGGCAACAAUGUUGCCUUGUUUUCCUAGUGCCCUAACACCUGUCAGCCCACAGGUGGUGUGUGAGGGUGAGGCUGACGUGCCUGCACUUGGUGCUGUGAUGAGGUGUUCACCUAACCUGCUGGGCUGAGCUCCGUGAGACCCUAAAACAGCUCAGCGAUUGUCCCAGGAUCCUCAGUGGUGCCUCUGUGGGAUGCUAUUAGCCAAGCAACGUCACGGUCUCGGCCCCAAGUUUUCUGUCUUCCACUUCAUGCUCUCUCUCUCUGCCUCCUCUCCCGAUCACAGCCCAGGACCCUAGCAUCGCCUCUGUAAAGGCAGAGCAAGCCCAGGAGGCAGUGGCCUCCCUCCACCCCACCCCACCCAGCUGGUCCAGCUCUUGCCUGGGAUCUUCAUACCUUUCCUGAGCAGGGAGCCCAGCACACCUGUAGGUGUCUUCUCUGUGGCUUCCUGGCUGUCCUUUUACCCAGGGCAAGGGGCUCCCAGAGCAGAGUGGGAGAGGAAUUCCAGCUUUGUCGGCACUGGGUGGGCUGGGGGCUGGGCUCCCCCUCAGUGCCCAGCUGUCUCCCUGAGUGCAUUUGCCCUGGACCUGAGGCAGUGAGCGUGACCCCUGAGUACCCUCAGGUAUUAUCCUAGCUGAGCCCAACAGUCCACAGGCUUCCUCCAUGGCAGGUGUUUUUUUUUUUUUAAGAUUUAUUUAUUUGAAAAGCAGAGUUACAGAGAGAGAAUGGGAGAGACCAAGAGACAGAGAUCUUCUAUCUGCUGGUUCACUCCCCAAAUGGCCACAACGACUGGGGCUGGGCCAGGCUGAAGCCAGGAGCCUGAAACUCCAUCUGGGUCUCCCAUGGCGGGGUGGCAGGGACCCAAGGUUUUGGGCCAUCCUCCACAGUUUUCCUAGGUGCAUUAGCACGGGGCUGGAUUGGAAGUGGAGCAACUGAGACUCGAACCAGCGCCCACAUGGGCUGUGGUGUUGUAGGCAGCAGCUUAAUCCGCUGUGCCACAGCACUGGUCCCAGGGGCAGCACCAGCCCCACCCCUCAGGGGAGCACUUGGUCCUGGUCCCAAAGUAAUAUAGUUUCAAGAGGGAGUUUGUUCAUGACAACACGGGGCGGAGAUGACAGAGCUGUUGUACACUCAACACUAAGACAUCAGAUGUGCCUGGAGCAGGAAGAAUGUACUUUCCAACCCACGUGAGAAACUCUGCCUGCAGGGGGCAGGAGGGGCCACAUCCCCUGUACUCACUCUGCCAGGGUCCUCCUCACCCCUUCACUGCCAGGAUUGCUCUCAGCAGCUCAGACUGGGUGUGGCCUCACCUGUGAGACUGCCUGUGCCCCCCGUCACUCGCAGCCAUGGAGUUAGAAUCUAAGGAGCUCUAGGCCUGCUCCUAGGAGAGCCUGCCUAGGACGCGGCCCUGUAACUUAUUCUACUUGUUCCCGUGUUUUCAAAUGUCAAGAGGAGGAGUUUACACUGUUCUCCAAUGCCCCAGUUCAGACGGCCAGGAGCAGAUGCACCAGCACGGCUUCAGCGCCCCUGGACCUCACCUGCAUUGACUCCUUCCUGUCCCAGGAGCCACUCUCCCCACCCACCCUGCUUCCAUGCCUCCCCCUGCUGGGCAGAGAGACACAGAGCUACAGACAAAGGGGAAGAGAGAGAGAGAGAGAGCGAGCGAGCUCCCAUCGCUGAUUCAUUUCUCAAAUGCAUGCCGGGCAGGACCCAGGAACUCGAUCCAGGUCUCCCACGUGGGUGGCAGGGACCCAACUAUCUGAGCCGUCACUACCGCCUUCAGGACCUGCACUGGUGGCAAGCUGGAAUCAGGAAUGAGAAAAUAAUUUGUUCUGAAGUCAUCCUAAUUUUUGGUAUUAAAAUGACCUUGUUUUAGUCCCAUCAUGGUGAUAGGCACUCAUGGUUGCCUUUUAAAAGCUCUUACUUUACUCGACAAAGGAAAAGUGGUCACCUUACCUUGGUGCCCAAAUGUGUUCUGGAAUGUUCCUUGUUCUGGAAUGUCCCCCACUGCCAAGGCUGUGGACUGCAGCUCUGAAGGUGUCUGUCGGAGGCCCCCUCUGGCUCCUCUGGCUCGCUCUUCCCAGCUCUUCCAGGACUGUGAAGUUGUUUCUGCAAAGUGGUCACCAUUCCUGCAGAGCCGGCCAUCCCUCUGAGACUGUCUGCCUCGCAGGUGCCCCGCUGAGCUCAGCUCGGCCCCCACGUUCCUGGACAUCCCUAGGAGAGGCUCUGCCAUUCUGAGGACAUCUGGGCCUACCUGGUUAGGUCUCAGGGACCACCAGGACAGGAUUUCAACUCGCACUUCAGAGAUGCCCCCUCGAGGGAGGGACCCCACUUGGGUGCUGCAGGCAGGGGACGAUCCCUUCCGGGCUCUGAUCUCACUGCCUUCUUCCUUAGCUUGUGGGUGGGACUCUCUGGGGAGCUCACCCCUCCCCCAAGAGUCCUCAGCAGUGGGUUGGGGGUGCAGCAAGCACUCACCACACCCCCGAGGCACAGGCUGGAUGUUACCUCCAGGCUGUGGGCCCCCAUGUCUAAUGAGGACAAAGCUACUCCAGGGCCAUAACCUAACACAGCCCCCACCUGGGCUUCCAUCCUGCAGGAAGAAGUGGAGGCUGAGAAGGAAUUGGACUUCGGCCUCCUGGUUACCCCAGACGAGAAUGAUAGUCCCAGAGGGGCUCCCUGCCUGUCCUGUGUGAUUACAGGAUCAAAGUUGUGCAGAGAGGAGAGGUGGGGAGGGGCUGUGUGCGGGUAGCUUUUGUGGCAGAGCUGGCCAGUGGUUCAGAAAGAGAAACAGCUGCACCUGUCUCGGGUGAUGGGAAAACACGGGAGACGUUGACCCAGAACAGGGGCCUGGACUAAGCAAGCCCUACCUUGGGCAGGUGGGUGGCUGUCUGCAAGAUUCUGUCACUUUCUUGCUUUGUUGAAAGGCUGGGCCUCUCCAGGGCGUUUGUCCUCUUGCAAACUCAGUAGCACUCAGCCCCCGAUGUCUGGUCAGGACAAGCUACACCACGGCCCACCCAUCAGAGCCCAAAUGUGGAUCCUGGAGGUCCCCUGGCCUCCCCUGCCUGUUCCCCUACCUGCCCCUUGCCCCUCUGCAGUGGGUGGUGGUGCCGGCUGGCCCGAGUCAUCCUGUCUGACCUCAGCUCUCACAGAAGUGGUCACCGAGCCGGCAGUGACACACACACACUGUGUGCAGUGGGCUCCGGCGCACCCCGUUCCUACAACACUGUGGGGGAACGUGCAGGAUUUUCAGAUGAACAUGAGGACUGCAACCUGUCGGUAAGUCAGGGCCUUCCAACGUGACACAAUACUAGCACAACGGAAACACAAUCAAAACACAAUCAACCCUUUGAAAGGCUUGCAGGUUCCCAGGGUCAGCAUAACUCAACCGUGGCCAUGGCCUUGACCACAGAGACAAGGCUAAGCACAGCCUCGGUGCAGGUGUCUCAAAAUAAUCAUGUGAACUCGGCCUCCUCAUUUCAACAAUGAAGACCCAGAGGUUCAUCUGCUGAGUAAUUCAUAUUCAGAGUACACACUGAAGCAAGGCUCAGCAUUCGGCCAGCACUAACCGGCAUGGUCCUGGCAGCACAGAGCCCUGCUGGUCGGUGGAGAUGGAUCAUGGGAGAAACUGGUGACAGCACACUCACUCUGCCCCCCGACUGUAGGAGUGCUCCCCAAUGAAUGCUCUUUCCUUCUCCCUCCCGAGACAUCCUUUCCAUGUUUAUGACCCUGCCCCAUAUCCUCACCUUGUCCCUCCAAUACAAGUUCAAAGUCAUUGUCCUUGAAAUGCCUGAGUAUGCACAUGGUUCCCGUGCUACGCCUCUUGUUCUUUCCAGUCUCACUAAGCACUCGUAAGAAUACUGUGGAUGACAAUUCAACUGGUGUUGGAAAGUGGUUGAGAAGAGAGGGUAUCAGACAGGGAACAAGUUACAAAGGAGCUGAACAUGAAGUGUUGAAUCAACCUGAGGUUGUUGGCAUCUGGAAGCAGCUACCAUGUGUGGGACUGGAGGGGUGAAGGCAGAAGGUCAGUUUCGAAAGGCCGGAGUCCAGUUGACUUCCUGAUGGGAGCCGGGCCUAGGGCAGGGGCUGCCGGGAGACUCCAGCCUUUGGGAAGGAAGCAGAGGGAACUCUGCCCGUCUCUGUGCGUGCAGGCUGGGAGGUCAAAGGUUGACGCCCAGUCUACAUGGUGCUUUCACAGAACCAAAUCACUAAUGCAACAGGAAGCAAGCUUUAGCUUCCAGGUCAUCUUCUGGGACACAGGGCCGUUUGCUAGCAUAGGCUGUCCUGGCUUGAGGGGGCAUGGUCCACCUGGCCCUUGAGACCAUGGAGCCUGGGACUAUUUCCCACUGUCAAGGCCAACCUUGGGGGGAAGGGUAGGAUCUGAGCACCUCUUGGUCAGGAGCAGCAGCCUCAGGGACUGGGACUUGGGCUUCUUUGGGUGCAAGGCUGAUUCCUCUUCCCUGCAUGAACAAACUCCAAAUGAGAAAACAGGUGGUCAGCCGUCCACUGCCAAGUAGAACCACUUGAUGACGCCUGAUCAUUUCCCAAAGGAAUACUGACCGAAGUCUCUCCCUGGCACCCUAGCAGGAGGCAGGCACAUCGGCUAACACGCAAGCCACCGUGGCUUAUGAGCAAGCUCCUCUGACCCCAGUCCAACAAGGAAGCCAGUGUUUGAGGACUGUCCCCUGGUGCUUCCUCAGCCAGAGAUGAUGGACAUCUCAGGGGCAGAUCAGGGAGCCAGGCCUGGGGGAGGGAUGGUCCUAAGGUUUCAGUCACACCAAACUCUUUGUCAUGUGUCCCCUGUCCACGCCUCUCUUGCCAGCAUUCUGACCUGCUGAGCCCUGGAGUGGCCACAGUCUUAAGCAAGGCAGAGACCUGGACGGACCAGGAACCCUCCUUCUGUUACUCAGAGCCAAGUCUCCGAUCUAAAACAUAGAUGCUGAUUCUCAGCUUCCUUGUUUACUCCAUAUCAGGAUGCCUCAGUGUUAGGAAGCGAUGCGUGCUGGGAGAGGUGAACAUUGAUUCCUCAUGGAGAAAGUGGACACGCACUGUCCUUGUUGAAUUGACUCUGAGCUAGUUUACCUGUCAUCUGCCAGGUUUGAUUUGGGGACCUGGAGGUGGACUCCAGGCAUGCAGCUGGCCAGAGAGCAGGGCCAAAGGCGUGGGGGUGGUGGCCAGGGUGCUGUCCAUCCCUGCCUGCUGGCUCUCCUGUCAGGCUGCGCUUGGUCUGUCCACUGGAAUGCUUGGCUUCCUCUUGGCCACUCAGCUUGCCUGGGUUCUCCUGAUGCCCACAGUAGCUGUCUUGUUUUCUCCUCCCUGCUUUCUUGGCCUCCUCGACCAUGAUAGGUCACAGGUCAGCUCUGGAAGACAGACUGUGUAGGCUCCAGGGUUUCAGGCUGCCUCCCCAUUGUCCCCUUGUUGCCUGAAGCCAAAACUCUCCUGCAACUGGGCAAUCAUGAUACCUCCACCUUACCAAAAAUUCUCCCCAAAUCUCGAUGUAUCUUCAUGUUUUCCUGAACCACAUUGCUGUUGUUGGAAUUGCAUGAAAUUCCUAAUUGGCCAAAUUCAGGACAAGUGUUUGGCACAGUAUCUUAAGUCACCACUUGGGAUGCCCACAUCCUACAUCGGAGUGCCUGGUUCGAGUCCUGGUUCCUCCACUUCCAAUCCAGUUUCCUGCUAACGUGCUUUCUGGCGGGGGAGGCGGGGGAGGAGGAGCGGCAGGUGAUGGCUCAAGAACUUGAGGCCCUGUCAUCCAUGGGAGAGACCUGGAUUGAGUUCCAGGCUCCUGACUUUGACCUGGUCCAGCCCUGGCUGCUGCAGGCAUUUGAGGAGUAAUCCAGCAGGUGGAAGAUCUCUCUCUCUCUCUGUGUCUUCCUGCCUUUCAAGAAAAGAAAAAAUGCCCAAAUUGGAGCGUCCUAACCAGGGUGAGUAAUUUGUGGGUACCAGUUAAGUGCAAAUUCUGGGAGAGCAGAGGAAGAGUCCAGGGCCAGGCCUUCAUCCCAGCCACUUCCUAUGUGCAGGUGCCUCUGCUUAACCAACGGAUCCAGAGAGGAGGCAGGUCUUUCGUGCAGCAACAAUGAGAGAGGGGAAGGAGGCUGGAAAAAGAAAUGGAUUCAUCAGCAAGGAGACCUUCAGCUUUGCCCAUUUCCCCAAGGAGGCGAAGGAUGAAAGUGUUUAGCUCCAAGAAAAACCGUCUGAUUAAGCUGGGGUUUAAAAUGAAGUGAGAAUUUCACAGGAUCUCUCACAUCAAGUGCCUUUAAACCCUCCUCAGGCCACAGACUGAGACCCAUGGUGGAUCUGAAGAAACCCCUGCACCUCCAUCUGCUCCUGACGUCUGCACAGCUCUCAUCACAGCGGGAGGGGAGCGCCCAGCUGAGGAAGACUCUGAAAACCUAAGGAACCUGGAUCUCCCCUCCCCCCACCCCAUCCCCACUUCCUGGACAAGAUGCGUCAUCAAGCAAAUGGAACUCUCCACAAUCUGCCCAAGUGUUAACGCGCUGCACUUGUGGCAAUAAAACACUUGAACCUGGCCCAGGUCUGUUUUCCUUGAACUUCGAACUCUUCCGGAUUCCUUCUCUCACUGAGUGAGACACUGGGACAGGGACCAUCCCGUGUGAGGAGGCGGGGCCUGACGUUAGGACACGCCCCUUCUUCCCUCCCCUGGUGCAGCUGAUGCUUUGUAAGGAGACUGAAGUGGCAGACGCUGAGUCGUGACUGCAGUGUCAGUAACAGUGUCUUUAUUAGAGAGUCACAGCGUUUCCCCAGGACAGUGAGGCAGCAUCCUGGCAGGUUCCUCCUCCUUUGUCCCUUCCUCUCUCUUCUGCAAGGUUUGGGGUGAAGCACCCCACCUCUAACUCUUGAGAUUGAGCCAGGCCGAGGAGAGGCCAUGAGUUUUCAUUUUAGAUGCUGGUGCUCAGCCAGGGGUUGCAGGCCUGUGGGGCGUGGUGGACAGAAACAGCUAAGUGGAUUAAGCUGCUCUCCUGGAGAGGCAGGAGAAAGCUGAGCCGUCCCUCUGUGUCCCCUAGACACUGGGGGGAGGGGGGCAGAUGGACGCUCAUGUGAUGGGCCUGCCCUUCAGACUGUCUCAGAAAUGUCACCCCUAGCCUGCCGUGGCCACCAUGCUCCCAGCUUCUCCUUUCCUGGGAACUUUCUCACAGGGAGCACAACUGGCAUUUUUUAAAAAAGAUUUAUUUAUUCAUUUGAAAGGCAGAUAUGGGGGAGGGGUUCCAUCUACUGGUUCACUCCCCAGUUGGCCACAAUGGCCAGAGCUGCUUCGAUCUGAAUCCAGGAGCCAAGAGCUGCUUCUGGGUCUCCUACAUGGGUGCAGGGGCCCAAGGACCUGGGUCA